ACCCAGCAGAGGCCUCGCCCCCCGAGCGGUGGCGGCGCGGGAC
This 43-nucleotide non-coding RNA is filed under the name Pavlova sp. CCMP459. Lineage: Eukaryota; Haptophyta; Pavlovophyceae; Pavlovales; Pavlovaceae. The record is from RNAcentral.